This is a long non-coding RNA of Syngnathoides biaculeatus (alligator pipefish), 494 nucleotides long. RefSeq lists it as uncharacterized. The record is from RefSeq and is a predicted model, not a curated record. NCBI's taxonomy places the organism in Eukaryota, Metazoa, Chordata, Actinopteri, Syngnathiformes, Syngnathidae. The transcript has 2 exons.
UCCUUGUUUUGUGCGUUGUCUUGUCCAUGCUGUUGACCAGCUCGUACUGUAUAUGUACUUUAUCUUGGUUUGUGAUAACUUUUUUUUUUUGAUUACGUUGUUACAAUCCCACCCCAGCAUUGUACUCCAGCGAAAGCUUCCUCCGUGGUGACUACACAUGCAUGUUUUUCCUUUUAGGGAUCCAAUGGGUGGAAUGGGCUCCUAUUUGGGAGCACUUGUAUCCUUUUUGGGAUCCAGCAGGAGAAAUCAACCACUUUGAUCAGCAAAUGGCACGGGCACGGUGGUACCUAUUGGAAUGUCCCCCAGGGCACCUGACAGGACACUUUUCUUCUUGUUGGACCGUGAAAUGUGAUUCACCCCCUCAAGAACGAGGCUUCAGCUUUUUGGUUCGAAAAAUUUCAAAAAAGAGGCAUCCUGCAGCAAAUGGAUCUUCUUCUGAGCAAGUGGAGUAUAAAGAUGUUUACAAUGCUUUUUCAAUAAAAUACAUGUGAUGA